GCUGAACUUAAGCAUAUCAAUAAGCGGAGGAAAAGAAACCAACAGGGAUUGCCUUAGUAGCGGCGAGCGAAGCGGCAAAAGCUCAUCUUUGGAAUCGCGCAAGCGAGUUGUAGAGGCGUACUUAAGGAAAGCGUGCAAGUGUCUUGGAACAGACCACCGCAGAGGGUGACAGUCCCGUGAACGCAUCCAUAUAGGUCCGCAGAGAGUCGAGUUGUUUGGGAAUGCAGCUCUAAUGGGUGGUAAACUCCAUCUAAGGCUAAAUAUUGGCGAGAGACCGAUAGCGAACAAGUACAGUGAUGGAAAGAUGAAAAGCACUUUGAAAAGAGAGUGAAACAGCACGUGAAAUUGUUGAAAGGGAAGGAAUGGAGGUGGCAUAGAGGAUGAGAUUGGACUGAGGUAUAAUGGCUCAAGAACGUGGCACCUUCGGGUGUGUUAUAUCUUGGGUUGA
Molecule: ribosomal RNA, 448 nt
Filed under: [Candida] sp.
Lineage: Eukaryota; Fungi; Ascomycota; Saccharomycetes; Saccharomycetales
Description: Candida sp. (in: Saccharomycetales) partial large subunit ribosomal RNA
Rfam family: Eukaryotic large subunit ribosomal RNA
Source: RNAcentral